GAUGAACGCUGGCGGCGUGCCUAAUACAUGCAAGUCGAGCGAACAGACGAGGAGCUUGCUCCUUUGACGUUAGCGGCGGACGGGUGAGUAACACGUGGGUAACCUACCUAGAAGACUGGGAUAACUUCGGGAAACCGGAGCUAAUACCGGAUAAUAUUUCGAACCGCAUGGUUCGAUAGUGAAAGAUGGCUUUGCUAUCACUUAUAGAUGGACCUGCGCCGUAUUACCUAGUUGGUAAGGUAACGGCUUACCAAGGCAACGAUACGUAGCCGACCUGAGAGGGUGAUCGGCCAAACUGGAACCGCGACCCGGUCCAGACUCCAGCGGGAGGCAGCAGUAGGGAACCUUCCGCAAUGGGCGAAAGCCUGCCGGCGCAACGACGCGCGAGUGAUGAAGGUCUUCGGCCCGGAAUACUCUCUUAUUCGGGAAGAACAAGCGUGUCAGUAACUGUGCACGUCGUGACGGUACCUAAUCAGAAAGCCACGGCUAACUCCGUG
RNAcentral lists this ribosomal RNA (497 nucleotides) under uncultured bacterium. RNAcentral's name for it is "partial 16S ribosomal RNA". It matches the Rfam family "Bacterial small subunit ribosomal RNA", at positions 28 to 507 of the family's 1533-position model. The record is from RNAcentral.